GGAACCAGGGAGGACAUGACCCUGUCCUGGGAGAGCAGGGGACUCCCUAGGGAACUGGAACAACGAGGGACCCCAGGACCAGCUCCCAACCCCUGGACCCUGGCUCUGAGCCUGCCCUUGAGCCAGCCCAGCAUCAGCCUUAACUGUGUGCUCAGCAACCAAGAACACCGGAAAACUGUCACCUUGGACCUUGGGGACAUUUGUGACCACGCAGAUCCACAGGGACAGGCUGAUGCCUCCCAACUACCCAGCAUCCUGGGGACUGUUGUGGUCCUGCUGCUGAUCCUGGGAGCUGGACUGUUCCUCUGGAGGACACGAGUGAAGAAGAGCCUGGAGCCUGGGAGAGGCAGGUUGCACUUCUCCUCCCCGGGCCCACACACCUCCCUCCCCUGGACCCUGGGCUCCCUUCCUCCUGCAUCUACUGCUCAGGGGAUGUCCCUGCAGGAGGCUGGUGGGGGCGGCCAUGCCCUUGGGGUCAUGGAGGGGAGGGUACAGGUUUCCAGGGCUCAGACUCCAGCUCCCUCUGUGUUUGACCCAGGUGCAGGGUCCCAGGACGAGCACAGGGACCCCGAUGGUGGCAUUCACUAUGCAGAGCUGAGCCAGCAGGGGUCUGGAGACAGCAGGGACCAGGUGAGGCUACAAAUGGGGGCAGCCUGGGUCCUCCCUCGUCCCUCUGUGCCUGGGUGUGUGCCU
RNAcentral lists this long non-coding RNA (693 nucleotides) under Vulpes vulpes (red fox). RNAcentral's name for it is "lncRNA (ENSVVUG00000012019.1)". Lineage: Eukaryota; Metazoa; Chordata; Mammalia; Carnivora; Canidae. The record is from RNAcentral.